GAUAUUUUAGGCUCCAGACGGCGUUUUAGGCCCGGGAUUAUAGUAUUAUUCUAUUUCAAGUGUAGUAGUUUUUGUUGGAUUUGAGGUGAUGAGGUAAAUCCUGAAAAGAGCCUAAACCAUGGCAACAGCUCUGCUCUCAUCUCCUCCUCUAUUGCCCCCUUCAUCCAAUCUUUCUAUCCUCUCAAAAAAGCAGAGCAAGAUUCUGUGGAAGCAAAAGAAAUGUGGCAAAUUCAUGGCAUCUUCACACUUGUGCAAAGAACCCACUUCCUACUGUGGGGUUUCCAGAAGGGACUUAACCUUCAUUGCUCUUUCUUCUUCACUCUCUCUUAUUUUCCCAUUUUCAGGUCGUAGUGCUGAAGAAGAAUUGAAAAUGGCUUCAUCUGUCGAUGACAUAAAUGCCUAUUCAUACUUGUAUCCUAUUGAAAUGCCAUCUAAGAAGUUUGUAUUCAAAUGGGUGGAAACCAGAAAACCGGAGCGUUAUUCAUCGGCUGCGCCACUAUCACCUGAUGCACGCCUUCGCAUUGUGUCUGAACGAGUUGACAUCAUUGAUAAUCUCAUCAUUUCUGUUUCGAUAGGUCCUCCCAACUCACAGUUCUUAAAGUCAAAGGAGAAAAGUACAUGGCGUGCAAAAGACGUUGCUGAUUCUGUUUUGUCUGAUAAAUCUGCUUUGCGUGUAACCUCUACUCAGCGAUUGGCUGAAAGUUCACUUCUUGAUGCUCAUGCUUCUGAAAUUGAUGGUGAACCUUAUUGGUACUAUGAAUACGUUGUUCGGAAAUCACCAACCAGAGUAGCUCAAGAACCGAAUCUUUUCCGCCACUAUGUUGCUUCAACAGCUGAACGAGACGGUUAUUUGUAUACUUUUAGUGCUUCCACUCUUGGCAAGCAAUGGGAAAAAAUGGGGCUCGCAUUAGAAAAGACGGUGGCAUCUUUCCGACUUCUUCCUCCCACAGAAAACUAUGUUCCUCCAUACAAGGAUCCAUGGAGGUUUUGGUGAUUGCAUUUCAAGGUGUGGCUAGGAUUAAUAUUGUCUCCUGGUAGCAAAGGAUUUUUCAAAAGGUGAACAGAACUCCUGCAAUGUUAGCAAAACAAGUUGUACAAGAUGUGCAUGUGAGAGGAAAAUCAAGGCCAAGACUAUACAAUGUGCUACGGACUCUAAACUUCUAUCCUAUGUAAUGCAAUUUGGAUACUGGUGCAGGCUUGAAUUUUCUGCAGAAUGCAGCGGCAGUUUGGAUGGGAAGAUUUAUUUGAUGAAGAGUUUGAAUCACUGCUGUAAUAUAGAGAUGAUAUUGGAUGACUUAUUUUGUAUUUUUCUGAUUGUUCUGUUAUCAUAUGUUUCUCUGAAUGAAAAAUAUAUUUUGAAAAAAUGAUCUGCUUGUGUGUUUGAA
This is an RNA transcript of Capsicum annuum, 1385 nucleotides long. It is a transcript of the gene named psbP domain-containing protein 5, chloroplastic, with no coding region annotated. The record is from RefSeq and is a predicted model, not a curated record. Lineage: Eukaryota; Viridiplantae; Streptophyta; Magnoliopsida; Solanales; Solanaceae. The transcript is spliced from 12 exons.